AAGUCUGUUGGAAAACAGCAUCAUGGACGGUGACAAUCCGGUUCUUGCCUGGGGUCCCGCGGCGUACGAGCCGUUUCCGACGAGUCGUGUUGCUUGGGAUUGCAGCACUAAGUGGGUGGUAAAUUCCAUCUAAAGCUAAAUAUUGGUGGGAGACCGAUAGCGAACAAGUACCGUGAGGGAAAGGUGAAAAGUACCCCGACGAGGGGAGUGAAACAGUACCUGAAACCGAACGCCUACAAGCAGUCGGAGGCUCCUUGAGAGCUGACGGCGUACCUUUUGUAUAAUGGGUCAUCGACUUGGUCUAUCUAGCAAGCUUAAGCCGUUAGGUGUAGGCGCAGCGAAAGCGAGUCUUAAUAGGGCGCAUGAGUUAGAUGGAUCAGACCCGAAACCGAGUGAUCUAGGCAUGAUCAGGAUGAAGGUAAGGUAACACUUACUGGAGGUCCGAACCCACACCUGUUGAAAAAGGUCGGGAUGAGUUGUGCCUAGGGGUGAAAGGCCAAUCAAACUCGGAGAUAGCUGGUUCUCCGCGAAAUCUAUUUAGGUAGAGCGUCAUCCGAAUACCCCGGGGGGUAGAGCACUGGAUGGGUAAUGGGGCC
RNAcentral lists this ribosomal RNA (596 nucleotides) under Lingulaulax polyedra. RNAcentral describes it as "Lingulodinium polyedra partial Bacterial large subunit ribosomal RNA". It matches the Rfam family "Bacterial large subunit ribosomal RNA", at positions 336 to 928 of the family's 2925-position model. The record is from RNAcentral. Lineage: Eukaryota; Dinophyceae; Gonyaulacales; Lingulodiniaceae.